CUUUAAUUUCAGUAGAGUUGACCUGAGUCGUCAUCUUCCAAUUCUGAAUCUGAUUUGACCAUCAAUGUCAGAAUUUCCUCAAUGGACAUCUGCGACUAACUGUCUCCUCCAUCUUCAUUAACAAUUACCCACUCGAGGAAUUUUCCAUCGCAACUAGUGCGUUCCUUACAAUUUUGUUUUCCUAUUGAGUUAUCAUUCUAUUUUGAGGAACUUGAUCCUUUCUCUCAAUCUAUUCCUUUUCAACUUAGUUUCUCUAGCUGGACACUACUUAAUAAAGUGAUCAACACUAUCAGACCUAUGACAUAUACUUCAAUAUUCCCUUUUUUAGGUGCUUUGGAUUUAGAGGAACUACUUCUAUUAAGAAAGCCUUCUUUCUUAAUCAUACAUUGAAAUCUGAGUUAGCAGUGACAAUUUUAAUUCAUCAAAUUUCUUAUUUGAGCAGUCUUAAGGGACAACAUCUUUGCGUGGAGCAACAUCCUUCUGAUUUUGAAGCUUCUUCAUCUUAUAGAGAACAAAUUGAAGCACCAAAACGAUCCAGUCAAAAUGUAGAAAUUGAGGAAAGUUGCCCAUACAAGUUUUAACAAGACGGUCCCAAAAUCUCCAAAUAAGAAAAAAUUGAUGAAUCGGGACGACCACGUCAUCCAAAGUUUGCAGGUAUAUUUUUUCAGCUUUAUACAUUGCUAUAUAUAUAUAUAUGUUACCUUCAAUUGGGUUUGACGCACAAACUCAGCGAUUAUACUGUGCAACAUUACUUUGAAAUUACGGAGUCAUCAAGGCAUCAGAAUGAUAUACAAGUGACAAUGAUGAUCCUUCGCGAUCAAGACCAAGUUUUAUUCAACCAAUUGAUGAAACAACAAUAGUUAGUUUAGAAUAGCCAAAUUUUUAACUUUCUAGAUGAACACAAUUACUAACUUGUUUUAAUAAUGGAUGUUAAAGACUUAUAGCACUUGUUAGAUUUCUAAUGUUGGUUUGGAUUUGAUUUUUUUUUUUGAUAUGUCUUAAGGAUGCUUAACUAUCUUCUUCUUUAAUCUAUUGAUAAUUAUUUUUUUUUA
Capsicum annuum is the source of this 1052-nucleotide long non-coding RNA. RefSeq lists it as uncharacterized. NCBI's taxonomy places the organism in Eukaryota, Viridiplantae, Streptophyta, Magnoliopsida, Solanales, Solanaceae. The record is from RefSeq and is a predicted model, not a curated record. The transcript is spliced from 3 exons.